AUGAUUCAGUUAGAGGAAGGGCUUUUACAAAAAGCCCUGCUUCAGAAAAUAGCUCCACCUGCCCAUGGGGGGCUCCUGCACAGGGAGAGUAGCUGGGAGAGAUCUCCUGAGCGGGUCCCUGAUGUGAUCUCGCAGGGAUCUGGGCUCAGAGCGGAGCGGGGCGUUCAGGACGCCAGCAGGGCCGCGGGACCCCUUUUUGUGCUGAGCCCUGAAGCUGUGAGCACUGACACUCAGUACUUCGGCGCGGGCACCCGGCUGUCGGUGCUAGACGACCUGAGCAAGGUGACCCCACCCAAGGUGGCUGUGUUCGAGCCGGCAGCAGCAGAGAUCUCCCGGACCCAGAAGGCCACGCUCGUGUGCCUGGCCACGGGCUUCUACCCCGACCACGUGGAGCUGAGCUGGUGGGUGAACGGGAAGCAGGUCAAGACAGGGGUCAGCACGGACCCUGAGCCCCACAAGGAGGACCCCAGCCACAAUGACUCCAGAUACUGUCUGAGCAGCCGGCUGAGGGUCUCCGCCACCUUCUGGUACAACCCUCGCAACCUCUUCCGCUGCCAAGCCUGGUUCCACGGGGUCGCGGACGAGGACGAGUGGAAGCAGGACGGGCCCAAACCCGUCACCCAGAACGUCAGCGCCGAGGUCUGGGGCCGAGCAGACUGUGGCUUCACCUCGGUGUCCUAUCAGCAAGGGGUCCUGUCUGCCACCAUCCUCUAUGAGAUCCUGCUGGGGAAGGCCACCCUCUAUGCUGUGCUGGUCAGCGCCCUGGUGCUGAUGGCCAUGGUUAAGAAAAAGGAUUCCUGA
Non-coding RNA from Mesoplodon densirostris (Blainville's beaked whale), 801 nucleotides. The record is from the annotation of a RefSeq genome assembly. NCBI's taxonomy places the organism in Eukaryota, Metazoa, Chordata, Mammalia, Artiodactyla, Ziphiidae.